RNAcentral lists this ribosomal RNA (254 nucleotides) under uncultured bacterium. Its description in RNAcentral is "partial 16S ribosomal RNA". It matches the Rfam family "Bacterial small subunit ribosomal RNA", at positions 524 to 777 of the family's 1533-position model. The record is from RNAcentral.
UACGAAGGGGGCUAGCGUUGUUCGGAAUUACUGGGCGUAAAGCGUAUGCAGGCGGAUCGUUAAGUCGGGGGUGAAAUCCCGAGGCUCAACCUCGGAACUGCCUUCGAUACUGGCGAUCUUGAGUCCGGGAGAGGUGAGUGGAACUCCGAGUGUAGAGGUGAAAUUCGUAGAUAUUCGCAAGAACACCAGUGGCGAAGGCGGCUCACUGGUCCAUAACUGACGCUGAGGCACGAAAGCGUGGGGAGCAAACAGGG